UACGUAGGGGGCAAGCGUUGUCCGGAUUUAUUGGGCGUAAAGGGCUCGUAGGCGGUUUGUCGCGUCGGGAGUGAAAAUCCAGGGCUUAACUCUGGACUGGCUUCCGAUACGGGCAGACUAGAGGUAUGCAGGGGAGAACGGAAUUCCUGGUGUAGCGGUGAAAUGCGCAGAUAUCAGGAGGAACACCGGUGGCGAAGGCGGUUCUCUGGGCAUUACCUGACGCUGAGGAGCGAAAGUGUGGGGAGCGAACAGG
Molecule: ribosomal RNA, 253 nt
Filed under: uncultured bacterium
Lineage: Bacteria
Description: partial 16S ribosomal RNA
Rfam family: Bacterial small subunit ribosomal RNA
Source: RNAcentral